GCCCCCGUGGAUCGUGGUGGAUCGCUCCUAACUGAUGUAUCGCAAGUUACAUAUCCAUGCAAGGAGAUGUGCAGGUUCGAUUCCUACCGGGGGCA
Non-coding RNA from Mycena rosella, 95 nucleotides. The record is from the annotation of a GenBank genome assembly. Lineage: Eukaryota; Fungi; Basidiomycota; Agaricomycetes; Agaricales; Mycenaceae.